Long non-coding RNA from Serinus canaria (Common canary), 2679 nucleotides. RefSeq lists it as uncharacterized. The record is from RefSeq and is a predicted model, not a curated record. The transcript is spliced from 3 exons. Lineage: Eukaryota; Metazoa; Chordata; Aves; Passeriformes; Fringillidae.
AACAACCAUAAAACAAUAUAUUUCAAUUGCAGCUUUGAAAACAUAUGUUACUGGAUAUGUCUUUGUGAAACAGGUCAGAAGUACAGAGAGAGAAGUCAGUCACUUAGAUUGUUGUUUUAAAUUUACAAAGUUGGUUAAGAAAAUGGUGUGCUGAAGCCCAGAGCUGGAACAAACAUGUGAAAUUAAGACAAGAGAACUGUACAUGAUACAGGCUCUCUCAGGCUUCUAGACCCUGCAUUGUUUCAGGGCCAUACUGCAAACUCCUUCUCUGUGCACAAACUGCAACAUUCACCCUUGCAGUCACCUUUUUACUCAGAAAGGGCCUUCCUGGCUGUCUCCCUUGGUACAUCUGUAACUGGCUGGGUGUGGAAGCACAGGCAUCACCGUGCUUGUGUAAAUGGAACAUAUCACAUGGCCCUCAUAGUCCUCUUUGGGUCACAUUAUUUAGCAAUUACGGGGUUUAAAAUUCAGAAUUUCCGAAGUAACAGAAGGGUGGUUUCAGCCCACUGCAGCAUGGAAUGGCAGGUGCAUGAUGGAAGGGCAUGGUGCAAGGAACUGUGGGUGCUUGAGGAGCUCAGUUAGUCAGAACCACACUCAGAGGCAAAGAAAACCUCCCUGUGCAGUGCAUCACACCCACUACCUGCUAAUCUAUCUGUGAGCAGCUCCUCUGCUAAUCCAUGCCAAAACAUGACAUAUUGUCUGCUUUCUUACUGCUGAAGACUCCAGUCCUUCCAAGAUGCAGAGUAUCAGCUUCCUAGUCCUUUCAGAGGUCUCGGGAAAGACAUAUUGCUACAUCUUCUCCCAGAAACUCAAAAAUUACCCCUAGGAAGACUUUACUUCAGCAAAACAAUACUUUUUUCUCAACUCUUGUAAUUUUAAGGGAUUUCUUCUUGGCUGCAUUACCUGCCUCAGGAAAGAACAAAUUCCAGGUAAAUACUUCCUAAGCCAAGUUAUACCAUGGCUUAAUACGCAUUUUAUUUAAUUCUUUUAAAUUUAUUAUCUCUAAGAAUAACUAACCAUUUUCUGGCAGUAGGUAUUCCUUCAUUCCUUGAAGCGCAUAUGAAAUUGAAUUUUUUCAUAUUCAGGAGAAGCAGCUGAAUUCAAACCCUUGCUUUCCCUUGAAUAACUUUUAUAGACUCCAUUCCUCGCUUCUUCUGAAGCAUUUCAUUUCAGUUCAUAUUUCUCAGCUAAUUAAACCCACUGAUUCAAGUUUGCACCUUCUGAAUUUCCUGAGAAGCUAGCCCUCUGCACAGAUGCUCCUGCAGUCUCUGCUGCUGCUGGCAAGGUCUCAUGCAACUUUCUCAAGGAGCUGAAAGAACUUGCACCACUGACUUAAAUGCUUUUCUGCACUUAAAAUAAUCUCAAAAAUUCUGCUUGACUCCAGGACUGGGGCACCUAUUCAUGAUGCGGAGCCUCAAAUAUUAUGAAACUGCUUCACAAAGAAGGUUAUAACACUAAUCUUCCGUAUGGUGGUCCCUAUUCCAGCUCAUCCUACACAGCAGCCAGCAGUUCAUGUAGCUAUGUUGAUCUCUGAAUAUUAAUUUCCUGGAUCCAUAGCUGCUGUGCAUUUUGAAGCAGCUCCCUCUUUUUAAAAUUUCUGUUAUUCUCUGAAUAUCUACUGGGUUUUUUUAAUAUCCAUUUAUAUUUACUAAUUUUUGAACACUUUGGAAUGCAAAAGCAUUUUUUCACCAAGAACUGGUGACCAAGUGCAUUAUGUUGAUCCUAGAAAUUCAGUAUUUGGGAGAGAUAAAUAAAUCUAUUCUUUCAGGAAAAUUCAAAUAUCCUACCUUGAUCCUGGAGUGACACCCAUGUAUUUUUGUUUCAGUUGCAAUCUAAGUUAAACUGUAACUGAAAUCAUUCUUUUUUGGAACAGUAACAGACUAAUUACUGUUUGAGUACAUCCCAAAUCACCAAGUGUUUCCAGGGCUCAAGGGAAAAGGAUCUCUCACGACAGCCCUGACUUGCCUUCUACAUGGAGAAGAAAGGGCUGGCACCAGGCAGGGGGUACAGGGACUGCUCUGGAUUUCACCCCCAGGAUUAUCACGCACCUCUCCAGUAGGAGCCUGACCAUAUAAGCCAGGCACUGAAAUCUACAUUUCAUCCUUCGUGAACUGGGAGCAACAAUUUGAAUUAUAGGUAUACUGCAUUCCCCAAAAUAGUGUGCAUAUUUCCUCUCUUUUGCUUUCUCUAAGAUAAAAUUUGUUGGAAAAAGAGUUUUUGGUAUAGCCAUCAUGUCAAUCUGAUUAACUGUCUAGCUGGAACACAUGGCCUUGGCAGUAACACUAUUUCUAGAUCCAAAGUCUGCGCUUUAAGGAUUCAUCAUCAAUGCUGCAUGUCUGAUUUAUCAAAUACAAAUUCCCUGCAGCACAGCAACUUCUUCAGGCAUGUUGCUGGGAGUUAAGAAGAUGUGGGUGCCAAGGCCUAAAGUGAGGAAGAGAUGUCUGAGGUGAGAUCAAACUCGAAAAGUUGCCAGCUUUUAUGCUGAGUUGGAAAUAUCUCUCCUUGACCUAAAUAAACUGAUGUGCUGGGGGAAUAAUUCUGGUAUCCAAGAAAACAAAUUGUGAGAGAGUUUUGUACACACGUUCUUUUUGGAAUAGGCACUGCUAGAAAGGAAAAAAGAAAAUUAGUCUGAGAACCUCAAAAAUAAGGGGCAAUAACAGAAACAGAGAAGUUGGGAAC